GAUGAAGAACGUAGCGAAAUGCGAUACUUGGUGUGAAUUGCAGAAUCCCGUGAACCAUCGAGUCUUUGAACGCAAGUUGCGCCCGAAGCCAUUAGGCCGAGGGCACGCCUGCCUGGGCGUCACACGUCGUUGCCCCCCCAUCUACUCCUUCGGGAUUGCGGGGGGCGGAUGAUGGCCUCCCGUGCGCCUCGUCGCGCGGUUGGCAUAAAUACCAAGUCCUCGGCGACGCACGCCACGACAAUCGGUGGUGGCGAAACCUCGGUUGCCCGUCGUGUGCGGUCGUCGCGCAUCGAGGGCUCGAAAAAAUUGCCGGGCUCCGGCUCGGCUUUCAACGCGACCCCAGGUCAGGCGGGGUUACCCGCUGAAUUUAAGCAUAUCAAUAAGCGGAGGA
RNAcentral lists this unclassified non-coding RNA (391 nucleotides) under soil metagenome. RNAcentral describes it as "partial contains 5.8S ribosomal RNA, internal transcribed spacer 2, and large subunit ribosomal RNA". The stretch from base 1 to 122 matches the Rfam family "5.8S ribosomal RNA", at positions 35 to 154 of the family's 154-position model. The record is from RNAcentral.